This 257-nucleotide ribosomal RNA is filed under the name uncultured prokaryote. Its description in RNAcentral is "partial 16S ribosomal RNA". It matches the Rfam family "Bacterial small subunit ribosomal RNA", at positions 524 to 782 of the family's 1533-position model. The record is from RNAcentral.
UACGUAGGGACGAGCGUUGUCCGGAAUUACUGGGCGUAAAGGGCGCGCAGGCUGUAGAUCAAGUCAGCUGUGAAAUGUCUGGGCUUAACCCGGGCAUGCGGUUGAAACUGAUGUACUGGAGUGCUGUAGAGGCAAGUGGAAUUCCCAGUGUAGCGGUGAAAUGCGUAGAUAUUGGGAAGAACACCGGUGGCGACGGCGACUUGCUGGGCAGCAACUGACGCUGAGGCGCGAAAGCCAGGGGAGCAAACAGGAUUAGA